UGAUGAUUAUUUUUAUUACACAAACAUACAUGACGUUCGAAAACUUCAUUAAUACAAAGAUCUUAGUUUCUACAGAUAAAGAUUAGGAUCAGACAACCUCGGAACGGGCAUGGCAAUAAGAGGGUUUUUGAGCUUCAAGACAAUACCAAACUUAUCUUCCACAUUUAACUCAUGGCCUUCUGGAAUCUUCCAAUCGAAUGAAUGCAACAGCGUUGCAAGAGUGUACUGAACCAUCCUCUCUGCGAGUGCUACACCGGCGCAAAUUCUCCGGCCAGAUCCAAAAGGAAGAAAGCUAUAGUCAGUUCCAUGGAAAUCACAAGACUUCUUAUCAAGAAACCUCUCGGGACGAAAUUCGUUCGGGUUUUCCCACACAUUUGGGUCUCUUUGAAUAGACCAAACAUUGAUGAAGAUUUUAGUGUCCUUAGGGACGGUGUAACCGCCGACCACAGCUGUUUCAGCUGGACGGUGAGGGACUAACAAAGGAACGGUCGGGUAAAGCCUAAGUGUUUCUUUCAUAAUGGCUACUAUGUAAGGUAGUCUAGUGAUGUGUGAUUCUUCAACAAUGUUAUCCUUUCCUACAACUUCGUCUAGCUCUUGUUGCGCUCUCUUCAUCGACUCUGGGUUCUUUAUAAGCUCGGCCAUCGCAAACUCUAUCGUGUUUGUAGAUGUAUCAGUACCACCAAUCACCAUAUCCUUCGCAUAUACAGUACGUAUAUAACAAACAUGAAUCAAAAUCAUUCUCAUGAGCUAAGAGACAUGUUAUGAAACAAUUAAGGGCAAAUCUCUAAAAAUAACAUAAAAGAUUGUUUUUAUGACCAAAAGAACACAGAAAAAAUGACUAAAUUAAAUAUGUUUCAUUAAAAAGGUAAAUAACAAUUAUAUUUCUACUUAAAUAUUUUUAAAAGAGAUUUUCGCAAUAAACUGAAUUUUUUAUUUAAAAAAAAAUAUUCUAAUUUUUUCUCUCCAAAAGAACCAGAACAACCCAAAAUUAAACUCUUGGGGGAGGAGUAUAAAUGUCUUUUACUCUUCAAUAAAAUCUAUUUUAGUUAUUUUGAUUUUGAAAACUAUUUUUGUGAUAAAAACUUUUUAGUACUGCUAUAUUUCUCAACAGUUAAUUACCGCGAGAACAGCUUUGACAUGGUUAACCGUAAUGGGAACCUCCGAGUUGGCUUCUUGGUCCUUUAGCUUCAUCAACUGUUGCAAAAAGUCUUUGCACUCACCAUCAUCCUUACUUUCUAGUUUUGGCAUCUUCUCAAUGGCUCCGUCGAAUAUGGCAAGACAGUCAGUUUAGUGUUUCUUUGUUAUUUAUUACCCUGUUCUGCUGUUAAAAUCUUUGUUUGUUUUCCUUUUUAAGCUUGGGUGGAUCUCUUGAUCUUUUUUUCGGUUUCUCUUGUAUGUUGUGUAAGUUGACAGACGAAGCAAGAGUUCUGUGUUUCUUUGUAUGAUGUUUCAAGUAACUACACUUUUGAGAGAAAAGUUUGGGGUUGGGAUUAAACCAGUGUGGCUUUCAAUAUUCCCAGUUUUGCUCCCUUUUAUUUACAGCCCCUGUUUUGGUCUGCUUUAAGACAUUUAUUUUCCUACCACUCUACAACAGCGUGAAUGGUGAUGGGCUGUUGAUAACUUUAUGCCGGAAACUACUAUGUUAUCUGGCCUUGAAAUAUUUUUCUCGAAAAUUAAAGAAAAGAGAAUGAUAUCGAGCAGGUAUGAAGUGUUUAAAGUGAUUUUAAUUAAAAUUAUAAAUAAUUAUCAUUGAAAAAUAUAUAUGUUUUAUAAAUGAAAAUAUGUGUUUUUAAGUUUACAAUCUGAAAAAUAUUUUAAAUAGGUGAUUUAUAAAGAUUGAUCGUAACAUUAGUGUAUUUUGUUGUAAUUCUUAAACAAAACAUAAAAAUGAAAAAAUUAUUUUGGACUGGCUUUAAGAUAUUUUAAUUUCAUUAUAAUAUUUUUAAUUCAACUAAACUAUCUUAAACUCAUUAAAAACAUAAGAAAAAAAACUAGAUGAAUACACAUUUCUAGAUGUUUUUUUUUUUCCCAUAUAGAACUUAAAGAAAAAAACUAUAAACAUUUCGAAAAUUGGGUUCUUGGUAUUGUUAUGUUUUUAUUCAGACUUCUUUUGUUUCUUAGUUCGACUUGGGGCAUAACAGUCUGAACUACUCCUCGGCAAAAACUACAAAACCAAAUUCUAUAAAUCCGAUUCAGGUCGGGUACGGGUUUGAUUUCCAUCCUUCCCUCCGUCAGUUUGAAUACUCCGGCAAUGUUUUCUCGAUUCCUCCACAGGAUCCGAAGUUCAAAAACCCCAAUCACGUCUCUCAAUUCAAUCAAACCUUUCACCUCGCUCAACCCUAAACCCCCAACCCGAGUCGCCGUCUUCUGGGACCUAGACAACAAACCACCCGCCUCCCACCCUCCCCACGACGCCGCCGUAAAGCUCCGAACCGCCGCGUCAUCCUUCGGCUCCGUGAAACUAAUGGUGGCCUACGCGAACCGCCACGCCUUCAGCUACGUCCCCGCGCAAGUCCGAGAGGAGAGGAAAGAUCGGAGACUCCUUAACCAACUGGAGAAAACCGGUUUAGCUAAACCGGCCGAGCCGUACUUCUGCGGCGUCUGCGACCGGAGAUUCUACGCCAACGAGAAGCUCAUCGCUCAUUUCCGCCAGAUCCACGAGACGGAGAAUCAGAAGCGCGUGAGGCAGAUCGAGGCUGCUAAGGGGCAUCAGAGAGUGAGGCUUGUGGCCAAGUACUCGAUGAAGAUGGAGAAGUACAAACGAGCUGCGAGGAACGUUUUGACUCCUAAGGAAGGUUACGGUUUAGCUGAUGAGCUGAAGCGUGGCGGGUUUUGGGUUAAGAUGGUGAGUGAUAAGCCCGAGGCGGCGGAUAGAGCGUUGAAGGAGCAUAUGGUUGAUGUGAUGGAUAGGAGGGAGGCUGAGUGUUUGGUUCUCGUGUCUGAUGACUCUGGUUUCGCUGAGGUUUUGUGGGAGGCGAAGGAGAGGUGUUUGAGGACGGUGGUGAUUGGGGAUUUGAGUGAAGGGAAGCUGAAGAGGGUGGCUGACGUGGCGUAUUCGUGGAAGGAGGUUGUGAUGGGGAAGGCGAAGAAGGAAGUUGAGAAGGUUGUUGGGAAGUGGAGGGAUAGAGAUGUGUUGAAGACGUUGGAGUGGAGUUAUGAUCCUGUUUUGGAGAAGGAGAGAGGUUUUUGUUGCGGGGAUUGGGAUUAUGGGUUUGAUUCUGAUGGUGAUGAUGAUGAGGUUGAGAAUGGAGCUGAGAUGGGAGAUGGUGGUGAUUGGUGGGAGAUGGAUGAUGAAGAUGGUGCUGGAUCUUCGAGACCCUGUCGAUGAACCUCCAUAGCAUUGGUUGUACAGAUCGAGGAUAAAUCAGUACGAUCUUGUGAAGCUAUUGUCGUAUUACAUGGUUGGCAGUAGCAAAAGAGAAGAAAGAAGAAAACUGAGUGGGAGAGAUUGAAAAUUCUUCACUCUAGUAAGCUCUCUUUGAAAGUUUAUGUUCUUCAUUCAUUGUCUCUAGUUGUCUGAGAUUCUAUAGGCAGCGAUUCAAUUUGUUUUUCCAAACCAUCAAAUGGUUAGUCAGGAUAGAGAACAGGAUACGGUGCAUAGAAAGUUUUGGAUUUACAGAAUAGAUUGAAUUACUACAGAGUGUAUAUGCAUCAAAGUCCCUAGCUAGUUUAUUUUAAUUUUUUUCUGUUUUUGGUAAAUAAGGUAGAAGAACUACACUGUCCACCCUAGCAUCGGUUCGGUUUAUUAUAGUUUUUGUUUUUUUUUGUUUUUGUUCUAGAAAUAUAGGAUCCUUUUGGGUCUUUAGGAAAUCCAGUUAGAUUUUUGGUUCGGUUCGUGUAAUACAAAUGGGAAUCGGCUAAUACCCGAGAUAAUUUCGAAUCCAAUUCGGUUCCGAUUCGGUUCCAGUUUUUUGAGUUAAUGCGGGUGUUAAACAAGAAAAUUCAGGUUUUUAGAUUAAAUAUCAGAUUUUUAGUUUUUCGGAUAAAAACUCGUAUAUUUCGGAUAAUUUGAUAUAUUUUGGACAAAAAAUAUUCGGAUAAUUUGGUCUAUUUUAUUUUUAAAAUAUUUGAUUAUUUUAAAAUAGAAAAUUGUUAAUAUUUAUAAGUUAUAUAAAUUAUAGUAUCUGUUUGUGCAAUGAUAGGAUCUAAAUCCGAACCAAAAUCAUGUAAUUGUAAGCUAUCAAAAUUUAUAUUAAAGAAGUGUGGACUGAUAUGAAGCUAAUAUCAAAGCAUGUAAGUUAAACAAAUGCUCCUUAUUCAAUAAUUUUGUUAUUUUUAACCGAAACUGGUGAUUAUUUUUAUGACAAAAAACAUAGAUGACGUCCGAAAACUACAUAAACACAACGAUCUUAGCUUCUACCAAACAUAGGUUAGGAUCAGACAACCUUGAAACAGGCAUGGCAAUAAGAGGGUUUUUGAGCUUUAAGACAAUACCAAACUUGUCUUCCACAUUGAACACAUGGCCUUCUGGAAUCUUCAAAUCAAAUGAAUGUAACAGCGUGGCAAGAGUGUACUGAACCAUCCUCUCUGCUAGUGCUAAACCGGCGCAAAUCCUCCGGCCAGAUCCAAAAGGAAGAAAGCUAUAGUCAGUUCCAUGGAAAUCACAAGACUUCUUAUCAAGAAACCUCUCAGGAUGAAACUCAUUCGGAUUUUCCCACACGUUUGGAUCUCUCUGAAUAGACCAGACAUUGAUGAAGAUCUUAGUGUCCUUAGGGACUGUGUAACCGCCGACCACAGUUGUUUCUGCUGGACGGUGAGGGACUAACAAAGGAACGGUCGGAUAAAGCCUAAGUGUUUCUUUCAUAAUUGCUACUAUGUAAGGAAGUUUAGUGAUGUGUGAUUCUUCAACAAUGUUAUCUUUUCCUACAACUUCGUCUAGCUCAUGUUGCGCUCUCUUCAUCGACUCUUGGUUCUUUAUAAGCUCUGCCAUAGCAAACUCUAUCGUGUUUGUAGAUGUAUCAGUACCACCAAUCACCAUAUCCUUCGCAUAUGAAGUAUAUAACAAACACAUGAAUCAAAAUAAUUUUCAUGAGCUAAGAAACAUAUUAUGAAACAAUUAAGGGCAAAUCUUCGAAAAGAACAUAAAAUGUUCUUAUGACUAAAAGAAUACACAUAGAAUACAAUGACCAAAAUAUGUUUGUGUCAAUUGUAGAUGAUAAUUAUAUUCUGACUAUAGAUAUAUAAUAAUAAAUAAAUAUUUUAAAAGAUAUUUUUGCAAAAAAACUGAAUUUUUGUUUUCGAAGAAAAUAUUUGAACUUUUUUCUUAAAACUACCAAAAAUUAAACUUUAAAUUUAAAUUAAUUAACUUUUAAGAUAUAAAUGUCUUUUACCUGUUUGAUAAAAUCUAUUUUGGUUAUUUUGACGUUUGAAGACUUUAUUUUUAUGAUAAUUUUUUUUAGUGGUAAGAUAUAUCUCAACAAUUACUUACCGCGAGUACGGCUUUGAUAUGGACACAUGGUUAAUCGUAAUGGGAACCUCCGAGUUGGCUUCUUGGUCCUUUAGCUUCCUCAACUGUUGCAAAAAGUCUUUGCACUCACCAUCAUCCUUACUUCCUAGAUUUGGCAUCUUCUCAAUGGCUCCGUCGAAUAUGGCAUCGAGCUCACGAGCGUGGCGCAUCUGCUUCACGAGCCCUUGAAGAUUCGCUAGCCACGGAAAAAAAUCUGAAACAUUAGGCUCACCCAAAAGCCUAGUUAUAUCAGAGACCAAUCCUUUAAACUCUGUUCCAACACUCUUCAUCUCCUCGGCUUUCACCGAACUUCCCCAUAACAUAUUCGUCAUUAGGUUCAUCAUCGUCACAAACAACUGAUCACCAACGUUCACCGCCGAUUUUUCUUGACUUUUCUCGUAUAAAAACCUCGUUCUCUCUCGGAUCUCUUUGCGCCGUAGCGCGUAGAAUGAAUCCAAAAUUUUGCGGUUAAGUAGUUUGAGAACACAAACUUUUCUAAGCAUUCUCCACUCCGCCCUGUACGGUAACCAAACAAUGUCGAGACCACCAUAGCUAAUGGCUCGAGCCGUGAGAGGGACGUCACGGUUUGAGAAGUUUAUGUCUUGUUCUUUCAAGAUCUCUCGGGCUAGCGACGGAGUGUUGACCACGACGGUUAGUUUUGAGCCAAGGUUGAGUCUGAAGAUUGGACCGUAUUCUUGAGCGAGGUCUCUGAAGUAGGUGUGAAGGUCCGGUUUAAGAAACGGGAGGUUUCCGACGAUACGUAGCCCUCAGGGUCCAGGUGGUAGAGGCGGUUGCGGCGAGCAUUUGAGAAGGAACCAGAGAACUGUAAUGAUAGUAGUGAGAACUAGAAUUUCGUAAGGAGGAACGUCCAUUGUGUUGUCGGUAAAGAGAUUUGAAAACGGAGACAUAUCUUUUAUGUCUGUUUGUAGAAACUUUGAGAUAAAUGUGGUUUUAUGGUGUUUUUGCACAUCAUCAUUUCAGCUUCAGACGUUUCCCAAUAUAUUGAAAAAAUGUCAUAAAAAAAAUAAAAUUAUAGUAAAAACCAAACUUUUUUUGUGGACAUCUGGAAAUAUAUAUCCUGUGAAGGUGAUAAGAAACUUGCCAACAAAAAAUAAUUUAUUAAUGAAUACUUAUUCCUUUAAAAUAUGGGUUUUUAGUGCAACUAUAUUUUUACUUCGGAUGAAAAACUUUCAACUAAAACUUUACGUUUUAAAAUCCUUAACUAUUAAACUGUUAAUGACGUUAACCCUCCGUCGACAAAGUCGUCUUUUCUGAACGGAUUUCUGUUAAAUUGAAUCGCGGGAUUUUAUUUAAUUACAGAAACGACACAAGAUGUUUAAAACUUUUUUCUGGUUUUUAGUGAUUUAAACCCCCAACUAUUUUUAGAUCAGAUGAAAAAACCUCCAACUAAAAGUUUAUGUUUGUAAACUCUCAACUAUUGAAACGUAAAUGCAUGUAACCCUCCCUCAAUGGUGUCUUCUAUUCUGAACAAAGACAUGGUAAAUUGAAACACAACGUUUCAUUUAAGCAGAUAAACGACAUGAUAUAUUUAAAAUCAUCACGAUUGGUGUCAAAACGGCAUGAUUUUUUGAACCAGAUUUUAAAUCCCCUCAUUCUGUCUCUAGUUCUUUGAGAUUCUAUAGGCGGUGAUUCAAUCUGCUCUUCCAAACCAUCAUAUGGUUUAUCAAGUGUUUAGUCAGGCUAGAGAACAAGGUACAUUGCAUAGAUAGUUUUGGAUUCACAAAAUAGAUUGAAUUACUACAGAGUGUAUAUGCAUCAAAGUCCCAAGCUAGUUUAUUAUUAUUAUUUUUCUAUUUUAGUUAUAUUAAAGAAAUUUGACCCAAAAAAAGGAAUUUUGGACAGAUAUGAAACUAAUAUCAAAAAGCAAUGAUUGUAAGGUAAACAAAUGCUCUUAGUUCCAUAAUUUGUUUUUUUUUAAAACCAAAUUGAUGAUUAUUUUUAUUACACAAACAUACAUGACGUUCGAAAACUUCAUUAAUACAAAGAUCUUAGUUUCUACAGAUAAAGAUUAGGAUCAGACAACCUCGGAACGGGCAUGGCAAUAAGAGGGUUUUUGAGCUUCAAGACAAUACCAAACUUAUCUUCCACAUUUAACUCAUGGCCUUCUGGAAUCUUCCAAUCGAAUGAAUGCAACAGCGUUGCAAGAGUGUACUGAACCAUCCUCUCUGCGAGU
Molecule: long non-coding RNA, 7640 nt
Filed under: Brassica napus (rape)
Lineage: Eukaryota; Viridiplantae; Streptophyta; Magnoliopsida; Brassicales; Brassicaceae
Description: long non-coding RNA (BNAP_LNC013307)
Source: RNAcentral